This 468-nucleotide ribosomal RNA is filed under the name uncultured bacterium. Its description in RNAcentral is "partial 16S ribosomal RNA". It matches the Rfam family "Bacterial small subunit ribosomal RNA", at positions 28 to 507 of the family's 1533-position model. The record is from RNAcentral.
GACGAACGCUGGCGGCGUGCUUAACACAUGCAAGUCGAACGGAAAGGCCCUGCUUUUGUGGGGUGCUCGAGUGGCGAACGGGUGAGUAACACGUGAGUAACCUGCCCUUGACUUUGGGAUAACUUCAGGAAACUGGGGCUAAUACCGUAUAGGAGCUCCUUCUGCAUGGUGGGGGUUGGACAUUUUCGGCGGUUGGGGAUGGACUCGCGGCUUAUCAGCUUGUUGGUGGGGUAGUGGCUUACCAAGGCUUUGACGGGUAGCCGGCCUGAGAGGGUGACCGGCCACAUUGGGACUGAGAUACGGACCAGACUCGUACGGGAGGCAGCAGUGGGGAAUAUUGCACAAUGGGCGGAAGCCUGAUGCAGCAACGCCGCGUGCGGGAUGACGGCCUUCGGGUUGUAAACCGCUUUAGCCUGUGACGAAGCGUGAGUGACGGUAAUGGGUAAAGAAGCACCGGCUAACUACGUG